UUUUGUUUGAUCGCGACUGCAUCAAAUAAGACUGGCGUGGCAGCAGAGGUGAAGAUGGCAAUGACAUUGAGACUCCUUUAGCCAAGUUCAUCCUGUAAGCAUCCCCCGGGAUAUGCUGAUUGCCAGUGGGAAGAUCUGCACCGUGGCCAGAUGCUGCAACACUCUGCAAGGCAUUCUCUGGGCAGGAGUCCCCUGCUGAUUCUUUCUUGCUCCCUUUUCCACCCUCUCGGCUCUUCUUUAAAACUGCCUUUAACAUUUUAAGUGUUGCUCCUCCGCCGAUGGGCCCGGCUCUGCUCGCCCGAGGGCUGCGCGGCCCGGGCCGGCGCCAGGCGGGCAGGCGGCGGGAUGAGCUCAGCGGGAGCGGGAGGCGGCAGUCCCCGCCCCGCACCUCACGGCCGCCCUCCGCGGGAGCGG
RNAcentral lists this long non-coding RNA (414 nucleotides) under Gallus gallus (chicken). The record is from RNAcentral. Lineage: Eukaryota; Metazoa; Chordata; Aves; Galliformes; Phasianidae.